This is a long non-coding RNA of Raphanus sativus (radish), 376 nucleotides long. RefSeq lists it as uncharacterized. The record is from RefSeq and is a predicted model, not a curated record. The transcript has 3 exons. NCBI's taxonomy places the organism in Eukaryota, Viridiplantae, Streptophyta, Magnoliopsida, Brassicales, Brassicaceae.
UCCUUGGUCAAGUACAAAGCUCUCUUCUCUGGGUUUAAAGUAAUUCAAGAAACCUAUAUUGCCUUCACUGUUCUUUGCCAUUUGCAGGAAACAGAACUUGUCUGUAAUCUGAAUAAAACUUUCAAAUUCAAGAAGAACGUAUUCUGAUUUUCGUAAAAUGUCGAGGAACAAUAGCAUUCAGAAAUAUUUCAAUGGAGCAACAAACAAUCUCACGGCCUACACCAAAACCGCCAAGUUCAGUGAUAUGCAAGUAUAUAGAAUCGGUGCCUUGACAGAGAAGUCAAGCUCUACGAAAGCUAUGGAGAUCACAGCUGUGUCGAUUGACAAAGAUCUUGUGAAUACAGUUCUGGCUAUUUCAUACGCCAAACAGCCUCAU